Molecule: ribosomal RNA, 253 nt
Filed under: uncultured bacterium
Lineage: Bacteria
Description: partial 16S ribosomal RNA
Rfam family: Bacterial small subunit ribosomal RNA
Source: RNAcentral
UACAGAGGUGGCAAGCGUUGUUCGGAAUUACUGGGCGUAAAGGGCGCGUAGGCGGUCUUGUAAGUCCCGUGUGAAAUCCCUCGGCUCAACUUAGGAACUGCACGGGAAACUGCUUGGCUUGAGUUCGGGAGAGGGAAGCGGAAUUCCGGGUGUAGCGGUGAAAUGCGUAGAUAUCGGGAGGAACACCUGAGGCGAAGGCGGGCUACUGGGCCGAUACUGACGCUGAGGCGCGAAAGCCAGGGGAGCAAACGGG